Herpailurus yagouaroundi (jaguarundi) is the source of this 1041-nucleotide long non-coding RNA. RefSeq lists it as uncharacterized. The record is from RefSeq and is a predicted model, not a curated record. The transcript has 2 exons. Lineage: Eukaryota; Metazoa; Chordata; Mammalia; Carnivora; Felidae.
ACGGUAUGGAGGCGCAUUUGGCUUGGAGGCUUAAAGGGGGUGUACAGUGUUUCUGAGGAGGGCGAGGGGUUGACGGAGCGCGGCGACGCAGGCCGCUCCGACCCCCGGAUCCCAGCCCUGGAAAACUGCGUGGCAGGAGAAGAUUUAAGUAAUCUGUACACCCAACGUGGGGCUCGAACUCACAACUCCGAGAUCAAGAGUUGCACCCUCUACAGACUGAGCCAGCCAAGCACUCCGUGGAUGUUACUUUUAAGCUAUCUCUGGCUCCCAGGCCCUUCCACGUGGCUGCAACAUCAUGGCCCUAGACUGUACCGCUGGAGCCACUGCUUUUUCGCUCUGUUUCAGGCUUCACUUCUAAAACCAUCCUCAGGACCCUGACUCCAUGGAGCUUACAUUCCAGUGAGAGAGAAGGCAGUAAACAAGUAAACUGAUGAAUAGGAUGGUUUCAAAAUAAAAGGGGUGAUGGGGAACACUUGGUUGAGUACUCAGAGAAGGCCUCCGGGUAGAGAACAGCAAGGGCAUCAUUGGCAAUCCUGUCACCUUCAGGGGACUUCUUUAAUGUCUUGGCUGAUACACUGUCCACCUCACAGGGUUGUUGUGGGGAGUAAAUGAGAUGAUAUUCAUGUAAAGUGAGUAGAACGAUGCCUGGAGCACAAUAUGUGCUCUAUAAGUCUUGAUUGUCACCAUUUACUAACAGACUACUUUGCCCCAUUAUUCAAGGUUUAUAUGUGAUAGGAUAUUCUCUCAGCUAGAUGUGAAUCCCUGAAAGCUCAAAUUUCAUCUUUUCUUUUCCUUCAUUCAUUAUGAAUUCAUAUGAAGAUUCUUCUGAAUGCCAAGCACAGUGCUAAGCCCUGGGGAAUAUAGAUAUGACUAAGGUAUAAUGCUAGCACUCAACAAAGAAUCUUCUAGAAUCCUCUAGAUCUUUCUAAUCCUCUAGAAUUGAACAUUUCUAUGAAAUGUUUGCAUUAUUUUUAUCUUCCAACACUCUGUAAUCACUUGGUUUUUCAUUGGAAUUCAUGAAAACGAGGAGUUUCUUUCCAA